AGCCAAGAAAAAUUCUGCAAUUUAUAUUUAUAGAAAGUUGAAAUGACGUAUUUAAAUAAAAAUAUUAAUUUUUGUUGUCUAUAGUAUGUAUGUGGGCAAUUAUAUUAUUUUUCUUUUAUCCCGACACACACAAUCAGUUCUGUCUCAUCAGAUCCUGAAGAAAAUGCAAGACAGUUUGAUGUAGAGAUUUUCACUGUCACAUCACUCAAUGCUACUAAUGCUUCCUCAGCCUGCUGUAUGAAGAAAGAGAUACAAGUGUAAGCUGAGAAUAUAAUAAUAUUAGUUCAAUUGAGAAGCCAUCUACUGGUUUUAUCUGAAUCAAAGGAACAAGGAUAAAAAAUUAAGACGAAAGACAGAGGGAGUAAGGUUGACAAAGAAGAGGGAAUUUAAAUCACAACUGACUGAAAUUAGUUUCAUGU
Molecule: long non-coding RNA, 419 nt
Organism: Amphimedon queenslandica
Lineage: Eukaryota; Metazoa; Porifera; Demospongiae; Haplosclerida; Niphatidae
Exons: 4
Source: RefSeq, a predicted model, not a curated record